ACACUGAUGGUUCAGUGGUAGAAUUCUUGCCUUCCAUGCAGGGUACCGGGGUUCGACUCCCAGCCAAUGCG
RNAcentral lists this transfer RNA (71 nucleotides) under Loxodonta africana (African savanna elephant). It matches the Rfam family "tRNA". Rfam says of the family: Transfer RNA (tRNA) molecules are approximately 80 nucleotides in length. Their secondary structure includes four short double-helical elements and three loops (D, anti-codon, and T loops). Further hydrogen bonds mediate the characteristic L-shaped molecular structure. tRNAs have two regions of fundamental functional importance: the anti-codon, which is responsible for specific mRNA codon recognition, and the 3' end, to which the tRNAs corresponding amino acid is attached (by aminoacyl-tRNA synthetases). tRNAs cope with the degeneracy of the genetic code in two manners: having more than one tRNA (with a specific anti-codon) for a particular amino acid; and 'wobble' base-pairing, i.e. permitting non-standard base-pairing at the 3rd anti-codon position. Lineage: Eukaryota; Metazoa; Chordata; Mammalia; Proboscidea; Elephantidae. The record is from Rfam by way of RNAcentral.